Arvicanthis niloticus (Nile rat) is the source of this 126-nucleotide small nucleolar RNA. RefSeq annotates it as small nucleolar RNA SNORA51. Lineage: Eukaryota; Metazoa; Chordata; Mammalia; Rodentia; Muridae. The record is from RefSeq and is a predicted model, not a curated record.
GGCCUCUCAUGCUCUCCACACUCUGUAUUCUUAUGCUGACAGUAUAUACAGAGGAGGCAGAGUAAACUGAUUCCCUAUACAGCUUAGCCAUUGUGCCUGAUCUGUAUUGUGAAUGGGGAUACACAA